RNAcentral lists this ribosomal RNA (247 nucleotides) under uncultured Bdellovibrio sp. Its description in RNAcentral is "partial 16S ribosomal RNA". It matches the Rfam family "Bacterial small subunit ribosomal RNA", at positions 210 to 456 of the family's 1533-position model. The record is from RNAcentral. Lineage: Bacteria; Pseudomonadati; Bdellovibrionota; Bdellovibrionia; Bdellovibrionales; Pseudobdellovibrionaceae.
GUUUUUCGCUUGAGGAUGAGCCCAUAUAAAAUUAGCUAGUUGGUGAAGUAAUGGCUCACCAAGGCGACGAUCCCUAACUAGUCUUAGAGGAUGAUCAGUCACACUGGAACUAAGACACGGUCCAGACUCCUACAAGAAACAGCAGUAGGAAAUAUUGCUCAAUAAAGGAAACUCUAAUGCAGCGACACCGCAUGAGUGAUGAAGGCCUUCGAAUCGUAAAGCUCUGUCAUAUGGGACUAACAAAAUG